Molecule: small nucleolar RNA, 108 nt
Organism: Rhododendron vialii
Lineage: Eukaryota; Viridiplantae; Streptophyta; Magnoliopsida; Ericales; Ericaceae
Product: small nucleolar RNA snoR100
Exons: 1
Source: RefSeq, a predicted model, not a curated record
CAAUGAAGGAAGCAUGGUAAUGUGCACAUAAAUUGAAUUGGGUUUCUAGGCCUGUCCUCUCUGAUGCCAUGUGGCUUUGAUUUUGGGGCAUGGUUCGACAGCAAAACA